This is a long non-coding RNA of Nematostella vectensis (starlet sea anemone), 1804 nucleotides long. RefSeq lists it as uncharacterized. NCBI's taxonomy places the organism in Eukaryota, Metazoa, Cnidaria, Anthozoa, Actiniaria, Edwardsiidae. The transcript is spliced from 2 exons. The record is from RefSeq and is a predicted model, not a curated record.
GGUUGAAUGAAUCAGAGUGAGGUAAAUUGUAGAGGUCAUGUAUGACCGUUAUUUUACAAGGUUAGCAGAGCAAAAGCCUAUGAAACUUAUAGCGCUAUUUGUCAUUGGCGCACACAUUUGUAAACGUAACCUGAACAUGAAGUCACCCACACGGAUGCUGUAAUUGAAGGAAUGAAGUAACGGACGACUCACAGACCUUGAAAGCGGUAAAAUCCUCGUCUUAUUUGCGCAGAGUCAAGCGGAUUCCAUCCGUUUGAUACCGGAGUCGCAGUCGUCAAGAAACGAGGAGAAUUGACAAGCAGAAGUACACACACAAGGGAUACGACCACCUCUUCCAUAUAACUGAUAUGCAUUGAAAAGCAGGAGGAAUUCCUAGUUAUCCUCCUGUUAAUUACGUUAACUUGUAUACCGCACAAUUCGAGCGUAUAACGACCAUUGCGACAGGCUAACGGGUUAGAGGCUCCGAUGGGUUUAUGCAAUUCGUAAACUCAACAAGCACACGAAGGCCAUUUUGAUUGUCGAGCAUGAUAACACUCGUGGAUUCGGUGAGAUCAGCUCACGAAGAUUUCUUUCACCUGCAAUCUGCAAUCUCCCUUUCAAAUGACCUCAUAAUUAAUUCAUUUUCCCGUCGGAGGGAUUGGACUACAAAUGGUAAUUACAUAUGUGUUCAGCGGAAGCGCGCUAAUUUAUGCAUUGCUGUACAAACCCCUUCUCUUUCAACAAGUGCGGUUCUGCUACAGCAAACAGUAAAUAUAUAGCCCUUCAGAACUUCACUAGAACUAACAAUACAAGCUCUUAUGAGAGAUACAUGCGCCAAGCGUAGAAAUAAUCAGCUUUAUUGUUGAUGCAAAAGGUGCUGUUCUGGGCUCUGCCAAAUGAAUGGGUGGGAGGGAUAAACUUCUCAUCCAAUUGCGGAUAAAAACCCUCGAUGAAUUAAAUCGAUGAAUCAAAUAACGAAUCAAAUACCACUUGCAAUCAAAGUUACUGCAAUGAUAUGUUUAAUGAUGGUCCGAAAUAAAUAGGUUUUUUUUCUAGGAAUUGUUUUUGUUUUAAAGUUGUUGUGAAUGGACUUUGAUGACAUGUACGCCGGUAUUAUAAGCGUUACUAAUAACAUUAGUUCUCAACCACCAGGAAGAUAAACAUCAGAAACAUAAGAAAUCCUUCAUAAUCUUUUUCUCGAACAAUUUUUGAAGUCAGUCUUAAAGAACAAAUUCAUUAGAAAUGGAGUUUUUUUGUAUACUUUAAGGAUGGUAAGAGAAAUAUAACAUCGACAGUAGCUGUAAUCGAUGUUGACUAAAAAAAUGGGAAAUCGACUUAUACAAGAUGGUCUUGGUCUUAGACGCCCCGCAUUAUUCAGAGUUUAAAAAAAUACCAUAUUAACACCUAGAUUUUUGAAAAUGGUAAUAUCACAUGAAAGAAUGCUAAUUCUGUAUACACUGCCGCCGACACUGGCUAUAUUGGUUUAACGAGUUCUAUUCAAAGCAGUGCCGAACAGGCUAUUGUUGACUUAGAUCUUGUUUAUUUUACGGGAGGAAAAAAAAUAUGGUUAGUAUGAGAGCAAGUGUAAUUUGUGGUUUUAUAAGGUAGCCAAUCCCCAAUAAUGCAUUGAAUGUGGAUAGACAAAUCUGACGCCUUCGACAUUAUAAACGUACAUUUCAACCGGAAUUCCGAUAUUUUGUUUAACUGUAGAGAGAAUUCCUGGGGUCAUGGAUCUCGUUGCCUGGGAGAGAAACAUGUCGAAUAUUCUACUAGAUCAAGAAAUAUAUUAAAUAUUUAUUAGGAAUAAAACCUUUGACGCUUCCGC